Bos taurus (domestic cattle) is the source of this 443-nucleotide long non-coding RNA. The record is from Ensembl. Lineage: Eukaryota; Metazoa; Chordata; Mammalia; Artiodactyla; Bovidae.
GGUCACUGCGCUAACAAACAACCCCACAAAUCAUUUCUUGCCCACACUGUGUGUCUACGGUGGAUUGGCUGUGGCUGUAAUCCAUGUCUCUUCACCCUGCGACUGCUGAUGGAGCAGUCUUAACCUGUCACGUUGCCUGUUUCCUGGGGGAUCUUCCCGACCCAGGGAUCAAACCCGUGUCUCCUGACUUGGCAGGCGGAUUCUCUACUACUGAGCCACCAGGGAAGCCCCUGUUUCCAGAAAUUUUUGUCAUCCCCAAAAGACACUCUGUACCCGUGAAACACAAGCUCUCCACCUCCUUCUAACCUCUGGUAAGCUCUAUUCUACUCUCCAUCUCUAAGAAUGUGCCUACUCUUGAUACAUUAUUGAAAUGGAAUCACACCAUAUUUGUCCUUUUAAGACUGGUUUAUUUGACUUAGCCUAACAUUUUUCCAGGUACGUCC